GGUUUCAUAACAGCUCUUCUCCCAUAAAAUUCCUCUCUCUCUUCGCGUUCGAAGUCCUAACCCUAACCUCCACAUCAUUCAUCCCCAUGGCCAGCGACGAGCCAUCGUCUCCUUCUUCCGCCGGCAAGCACCGGAGGUCGGCGGACGGGCAAGGACCGGAGGAGUUGUCGACGCGCCGGAAGCACCACCGUCACCACCACCGUCACCACCGCCACCGCCGCCACCGCCAUCACAGCGAGCACAGCCGGGAGAGGGACGAUAAGGAAACCGCCCUUACCGUGGCGGAUGCGGAUGCGGAUGCGGAAUCCUCUGCCGUGCCUGAGCCUGGUGAUGACGACCGGGAGGAGGGGGAGAUUCUUGAAGAAGAAGAGGGAGGUGGAGGGAUCAAUGGAGAGAAAGGCGUCAGCUUGGAGGUGGGAGGGGGUUCUGAUGUUGAAUCGGGCGAGAUCAAGGUGGACGGUGCCGAUGCUUAUUCCAAACGGGCAGCUUCUGGGGAGAAGGAUGCUUUGUCCGGCGAUAGUUUAAAGGUGCUUAAUUCUAAUCAGAAUACAUGGACAGAUGAAUGCAUGUUGGACACUCAUCUUUUCGAGAACUUCAGUGGUAAGGAUGAAGAUCAAGUGAAGGGAUACGAGGCAAACAGAGAAACACGUGUUUGGGAGACUGGUAAUAUAUCAGCGAGUGAUGGGGAGAAUGAAGGAGCCACUGUUGGUGAAGCAAGACAACGACGAUCAAAUUCACCUCGGAAAGGAGCUGAGAAGGAAAAGAAGCGCAAGACUAUCACUACACAUGAUAGAAAAAGUUGGUCAAGAUCAAGGUCUCCUGUGUCUGGAGAAAGUUUGCAUGCAGCAAAGCACAGGAAAAAGGAUAAUUGUGAUAUCAAAGAUUCUGAGCAUAACUUGGAGAGGCUUGAAUCGAGGCAGCACAUGGAUCUAGGGUAUGCUGACAGUAAAGUAUCAGAUAAGAAGGAUAGAUCUAUACCACCCAAGAAUUUGCGGGAGAGAUACAAAGACACCAGACGAUCUCCAUCUUACAGCAGGCGCAUUGCUGAAGCUGAUCAUAGGGAUCGGUCAAGGUCCCGUGACCAUAUGAGGGAGAGAUCAUAUGAAAGGGGUUCAGAUUAUUAUGCAGAUGGUGGUGCUCAAUCUGGCCAGUUUGAGUUGCAAGGUAAUGUUAGGAAUGAGUUGGACAAAUAUGCAACCAGAAGUAGAACAAGUGAAAGAGGGGUGCACAGGGAACGAGAGAGUAGUAAUAGUUAUUGCAGAUAUGAUGACCGGGAGGAUAGGCAUGGCAAUUGGGAAAGAGAUAGGGAUAAAGAAAGGUACAGCAACAGUCUUAGAGACAGAGGUAGUAAGGAGGUGGAUAAGGAUGCUCGUAGAGAAAUUGAGAGGAGCAGUAGCUAUAGCAGACAUGACAGGCGGGAGUACAGGCAUCUAAGUAGGGGCAGAGAGAGGGAAAGAAAAAGAUACAGUAGUAGUAAAGAAAGAGGUAGCGAGAACCUGCGGGACAUGAGUUGGGAGAGGUAUAGAGAGAGGGAGAAGGUAAGGGAUAUCGACAGUGAGCGCAAAAGGGACAGAGAUGGUGAACAUAGGAAUAGGAAUCAGGUUAGCGAUAGGGACAUACAUAUGCAUACAGAAAGAGAAAAUGGACUGAUGGAAAGGGAUAAGGUUACCGGUCAAGACAGGCAUAGGUAUUCUAGGCAUUCAAAAUAUGAUGAAGUGGAACAUUGCAAGGAGAAAACAAGAUCUAAGGACGCCGCCAAGGAAAGUAGGUAUAAUAGACACAAUCCCAAAGAAGAAAAAGUGGAAUCUAUCAGGGAGGAAGAUGAAGAAGACUAUAAAGAGAGAGUUGAACAACAGCUUGCAAAACAGGAUGAGGAAGAUGUUGACAAAAUCAAGGAGGAAAGUAGAAAAAGGAGACAAGCUAUCCUAGAAAAGUACAAACAGCAACAACUGAAGCAACAUGUGGAAUCCUCAUCUAAUGAUAAUGAGAAAGAGGAAAAUGCAUCUACAGAUAAGGACAAGCUGCAGGAGGUAAAAUUUACUAGAGCUGAUAAACAAGCCCCAAAUGAAGAGCUUGAAACUAGGCAUGAUACUUUGGACAUGUAUGUUGCUGAUCCAUCAUUUAUUGUGGGCAAAUCACCUGUGCAAAAUGGACAAUCCAUUGACGAGAAAACAACUGGUGCUAGGGGGCUUGGGGAGGGUACUCCCAAGAGUGAGAGAUCAACUGAUAUGUUUUGUGAUGAUAUCUUUGGAGAAUCACCUGCUGGAGUUCGUAAAUCGGGCAAAGGAGAUGACCUUCAAAUUGAUAGAAAUGGUCUUCAUGACAAUUGGGAUGAUGCAGAGGGAUACUAUAGUUACAGGUUUGGUGAAGUGCUUGAUGGUCGUUAUGAAAUUAUUGCAGCUCAUGGAAAAGGUGUUUUUUCAACUGUCGUUCGUGUGAAGGAUCUUAAAGCUGGGAAAGGUGAUCCUGAAGAAGUAGCCAUAAAAAUCAUACGCAACAAUGAUACCAUGUACAAGGCAGGUCAAGGGGAAUUAGUCAUACUGAAGAAAUUGGCAGGUGCAGAUCCUGAGGACAAACGCCACUGCGUUAGGUUUCUUUCAAGUUUCAAGUAUCGGAAUCAUCUUUGUUUAGUUUUUGAAUCUCUUCAUAUGAACCUACGUGAGGUUCUGAAGAAAUUUGGGCGUAAUAUUGGUCUUAAGCUGACUGCUGUCAGGGCAUAUGCUAAGCAGCUUUUCAUUGCGCUGAAACAUCUAAAAAACUGUGGCGUUCUGCACUGUGAUAUAAAGCCGGAUAACAUGCUGGUGAAUGAGGCUAAAAAUGUGCUAAAGCUCUGUGAUUUUGGCAAUGCUAUGUUUGCUGGUAAGAAUGAAAUAACACCAUACCUGGUUAGCCGCUUCUACCGUGCCCCAGAAAUAAUUCUUGGAUUGCCAUAUGAUCAUCCGAUAGACAUUUGGUCCGUUGGUUGCUGUUUAUAUGAGCUUUAUACAGGGAAAGUCCUUUUUCCUGGUCCAUCAAACAAUGACAUGCUUCGACUCCACAUGGAGUUAAAGGGUUCUUUCCCAAAGAAGAUGCUCCGAAAGGGUGCCUUUGCUGAUCACCAUUUUGAUCAGGAUUUGAGUUUUCAUGCUACAGAGGAGGAUCCAGUUACAAAGAAGACUGUUAAUAGACUGGUUCUCAAUAUCAAGCCAAAGGACAUUGGUGCCUUCAUAUCAAGCUCUCCUGGGGAGGAUCCCAAAAUGUUAUUGAAUUUUAAAGAUCUUCUAGAAAGAAUAUUUGUCUUGGAUCCAGAAAAGAGGUUGACGGUAUCGCAAGCAUUGAGUCAUCCAUUUACCACGGGCAAGUGAACUAAGAUGCUGAUUUUUCUGACUGCAAAUAUGCUGUUGAGCAUGCCCCUUCCCUGUGAUCUAACUUUCUAUUUAGUCAUCUAAUUUUUCGGCAUUUAUGUCUUUUCCCUGCUGCAUGGGAGCUCUAAGUUUGGAGUGCGUGGAUGAAGCAUGGAAGAGAUGCUGGUUGAAAAAAAAAGACCUUCCUGCAUGGCAGUUCUUAUCAGUGGGAUGUGUUCUGUUUCUUGGUUUCUGCCAGGCUAUGAGGCUAGCAACAAUGUUUAAUAUGGGCAACCAAAAGAAGGCCUUUGCAUAGGAGACUGCUGGAUGCAGGGCCGGUGCUGUGAAAAGUUUUCAUGGUGUAGUUGCUAAUUUUUUGGAGACUCAGUAAGUUUCCCUUUUUUCUUAUUAAUUCUCACUAUGCUUUGAGCAAUUUCUGUCAGAAUGUGGGAAAAGAAACAACUUUAAUUUUAUUAUAUUCUUUUGACUGGUUAUGCUGUAGAUAUGGAAACCUCUUUGCAUUGUGUGCUUGUAUUGUUUUUUGGGUUGAGGGAUUGAGGAUGGUUGAAGUUUUACUUGCUCUUUGAUUUGAUAAAAAUCAGUGGUUCUUUAGUUUCAUCAUUUGGUAUGUCUGCUUCCAGUGACAGUUUAGAACAUGUUUCAUAAUUCUGGUCAACAUGUUUUGGAUUGUGAGUGAUUCUGACUCAUUCUGAAGUUGUUUUGGGUGUUUCAAGUGCGAAAUAAGAUUCAUUCAUUCUAUUUUUUGGGGUUGUUUUGACGGUUUCUGGGCUUGAUCUUUAGAAAGGUUUUUUAUUAAAAAGGGAUUUGGCUAGUUUUAAUCAACUUGGACCUUAAAGAUUUAGUUUAAUGUUUUCAAGCUAACUCAAACUAGGUCCGUUUGAAUUUUUAAAUGUUAUGCUAAGGUGGAUGUGGAUUAAACUUUGGUGGAAUUUAGACCGAGUCUUGCGUCAGUGGUCACACCCCUCUGCUUGGUAACCAGAGGUUUGGGGUUCAGUUCUGGGUGGUGCAUUCACACAUAUUUGAGCUUGGAUAAUUGUAGUGCAGGUGGGUCUCCUUCCUUCCCUCCCUCUCUCUCUCUCUCUACAAAGAAAUGAAGGAAUAGAUUUGGAUAAGAGAACAUUGAGGAAGGUUUAGGGAGUUUAAAAUCCAAACAAAAGCCAAUGCAAUUAAAGAUGGGGAUUUAAUUGCGAAUUAAUUUCUAUAUUUUUGUUUAUUUUUAGGACUUGGAGUUUGACUGCCGUUAUAACUUUUCUUGUGCCAAGACCUUCAAAGAUCUUUGACACUACUUUUCAAUACGCUCCAGCCAUAUUCUCAUAAAUUCCUCAUUUAUCAAUUCACUUUAAGUGAUGCUACAUUUUCCCUGCUUAUAUCAACUCCCUCUUUCUUGUUGUCAUGUAGCCCCUUCCCCUUAUUCUAGGUCAGUCAUAUUUGUGAUUAGUAGCUUCCACUGUUUCAUCAGAUUUUCUCUUUGUAUAAAUCAUUAUUGAUGCAUGUAUCUCUCACUUUUAAGGGUUGGACAAACUGUUUUUCGCAUAAAAUGGAAUUUGUGUUUUUGCAAAUUAUUUCAUGAAUGGAGCUGAAAAAUCCAAAAACUCUUCGGACAUUGCUUUUUAGAAGUUGUUGCUUUUCGGUUGCAUAGAUUUAAUUGGAUAGAUCAAAAUAUAACUGCAGCCCAUCUACUGUGGGAACAUUGAUAUAAUGAACAAAAACGAGUCAUGAUCUUUAAUACCUAAUAAGCCUAGACUUUAGGUAUGCAUUUUUUUUCCGUGUAACUAUGCCUUUGCCAUUUCGAAAUUCGUUGAAAGAGAACCCAAUUGCUUCCUUUUCAAAUUCUGAAACUGCGAUUUGGUUGAUUUUUACCAUUUUAGCAAUUGCUGGUCGGUUAUCUGAAGACUAAAUUUGCCUUUUCAAUUUCUUUUUUCUUGUUUUCAGUUCUUCCAUAUACACCCCUUAGUUGCAUUUUCUUUGAUGCAUUGGAAUUGCUCCUAAGCGUCAUGGUUGAUCAUGGUUUGGUUGUGGCUUAAUCGUGGUUGAGUUUCUCGAUUCUUCCUCUUCUAUUUUAUUUUAUUUAUAUUUUUUAUCAAGCCAUCUGAGCUGAGUUUUUUAUUCCAUAAAACUUCGAUUAUCGUCCUUCCUUUUGCCAUAUAUGCUUAUAUUCCCUUAUUUCUGCUAUCGGUAUGGCUAGAACAAUUGUCCAAAUACUGAAGGCAAGAAAGCAGUCGAGGGGGCUUGUUUUUUAAACAAGCUCCAUGGUUAUCUUGUAGUUAUCAAAUCAUUCUUCACUAAAAGAUACCUACUUACCAAACCUUGUAUGGUUCAGCACUUCACCUACUCUGGUGUUUAACACCUAAGCUCUAAUAUUCGUUCCUUCAUUUGAACUUUAGCCAUAGUCUGAUUUUUGUUCCGGUUUAUGUCUCGUCUAGUUGUUAUUAGUAAUUUUAUUGGUUUCAUUGGGUCUGGAUGCAAUUUGGCUGUUUCGGCUGAAAAUUGUAGAAAUUGAGAAAAAUAUCAACUAUAGUGAGGGCAAACAUUACAAAUAAAAGGACAAGGACAAUAAGCUAGGCAUGUUUCAACGCAUAUUAUAUUUGUUUUGCGACCUUCCGAUUUAUUCCUUUAGUGGUUUUGCGCUAAAACAAUCAUUGUUUGGAAAGAUUUUAGGCAGGAGAGGGGUGAUCAAGGGGCUGCCCAGUGGCUAAGUGCUAGGUGGGCAUCUAGAAUAAAAGCAGUGCACACAUUUAAUCAAAAAUGAAAAAAAUCUUAUUGGAGGAAAUGUCCUCAGGGACUUCAGAACUCCUGGUGAUGGGAGGUUUUUGCUUCUUAUUUUGGAUCAUCGCCACAAGCAGCUUUAGCUCUUACUAUCUAAUUCUGCUCCAACAUCAGUUGCAUCCACUACUGUUCGCAAUAGCAAGAGCCUCAUUAAACAUAAUGGCUCUUGCUGGCAGCAACCUUACCCCAUCAGUAGCCAUUGUAACUGCUGGCACCAAGACUACCAAAUGCUUCCAUGGACUACCAUGUCAAGGGCAUUAAUGAAUAAGGAGAUUUUGGGGAGGAGGAAAGGGGAAAAGAAAAAAACAGCAACUACUGAAAAUCACCAUUGUAACUGCUGGCAUCAAACGCCGCCAUUGAUUGCUGUUCCCCGCCAUCGAACCAUCACUCCCUUGUCGCCUUCUUGCUGUGAUAGGAGUCUAGAGCUCAUUCAACAAAAUUUUGGGGCUUUGGAUGGGAGUUGGGUGUUUCUUAGGCAUCAGGCUUAUGGUCCCUGACCCAUUUAACUUGAACCCCAACAUGAACCAGCACUAGGUCACCUGGUGCGCGUGCCAGGCUUAAAAAGGGAUGCAUGUCCUGGCAACUUUCUAGUCAUGGGCCACCUAGACUCAGACGAGGAGCCCUAGGCCUGACUUGUCCUAAUACAGGCAAUGGCUUGUUUUACAGAACAAUAGAAACGGGUAAAAGAUAUUUUUCCAAAAUAAAAUGCAAAAAUAAUGUUUGACGGCAAUUAAUGUGCGACAUUCUAUGAGAUGUGAGUUCUCUGAUAGCCCUGCUUGUGUUUAAAAAGUUAGCUUCAUCUAUAUUUCUUAAAACUAAUGUUGCAAUUCUUCCAAACUAUUCCAAAUGUUAUAGGUCUUAUGUUUAAACUAAAGAAAAUACUUUCUGACAUCAGAGAAACAAAUAGAUGCCCAAAAAUAAGUAAAGAGGUACGUAUCCAUAAUUUGGCCUCUAAAAUUUAAUUUCAGCUGAACUUUUCAAAAUUGCCGCAUUGGCUUUACUUGAAACUAGAAUGUUUUCUUGCUGGACUCUGAUCUUUAGAAGCAUUUAGGUUAAUGUCAGCCUCAAUUGGUGCUUCUCAUUAACAAUUUAAAAAAUAUUUAACAUUUAGCAUUGUAAUCAAAAUAAUCAGAUUUCAAGACAGAAGGUCUACUUUUUCCCUUUUAUGUAAGAUAUAAAAUGAUUAAAGAUGCUGGAAAUUUUAUGUAGGUUAUGCACUAUCACGUCGGAAAUAGCUUGAUAUUUAAUCAGUUAAUA
RNA transcript from Phoenix dactylifera (date palm), 7367 nucleotides. RefSeq lists it as uncharacterized. NCBI's taxonomy places the organism in Eukaryota, Viridiplantae, Streptophyta, Magnoliopsida, Arecales, Arecaceae. The record is from RefSeq and is a predicted model, not a curated record.